GUAGGUGGCAAGCGUUGUCCGGAAUUACUGGGCGUAAAGCGCGCGCAGGCGGUCCUUUAAGUCUGAUGUGAAAGCCCACGGCUCAACCGUGGAGGGUCAUUGGAAACUGGGGGACUUGAGUACAGAAGAGGAAAGCGGAAUUCCAAGUGUAGCGGUGAAAUGCGUAGAGAUUUGGAGGAACACCAGUGGCGAAGGCGGCUUUCUGGUCUGUAACUGACGCUGAGGCGCGAAAGCGUGGGGAGCAAACAGGGAUUAGAUACCCUGGUAGUCCACGCCGUAAACGAUGAGUGCUAAGUGUUAGGGGGUUUCCGCCCCCUUAGUGCUGCAGCUAACGCAUUAAGCACUCCGCCUGGGGAUACGGCCGCAAGGCUG
Molecule: ribosomal RNA, 372 nt
Filed under: uncultured organism
Description: partial 16S ribosomal RNA
Rfam family: Bacterial small subunit ribosomal RNA
Source: RNAcentral